RNAcentral lists this ribosomal RNA (405 nucleotides) under uncultured bacterium. RNAcentral describes it as "bacterial SSU rRNA". It matches the Rfam family "Bacterial small subunit ribosomal RNA", at positions 509 to 916 of the family's 1533-position model. The record is from RNAcentral.
CAGCAGCCGCGGUAAUACGGAGGGUGCAAGCGUUAUCCGGAUUCACUGGGUUUAAAGGGUGCGUAGGCGGGGAGGUAAGUCCGUGGUGAAAUCUCUGAGCUUAACUCAGAAACUGCCAUGGAUACUAUUUGUCUUGAAUAUUGUGGAGGUAAGCGGAAUAUGUCAUGUAGCGGUGAAAUGCUUAGAUAUGACAUAGAACACCAAUUGCGAAGGCAGCUUACUACACAGUUAUUGACGCUGAGGCACGAAAGCGUGGGGAUCAAACAGGAUUAGAUACCCUGGUAGUCCACGCCCUAAACGAUGAUUACUCGACAUCAGCGAUACACUGUUGGUGUCUGAGCGAAAGCAUUAAGUAAUCCACCUGGGAAGUACGAUCGCAAGAUUGAAACUCAAAGGAAUUGACGG